This 266-nucleotide ribosomal RNA is filed under the name uncultured beta proteobacterium. RNAcentral describes it as "partial 16S ribosomal RNA". It matches the Rfam family "Bacterial small subunit ribosomal RNA", at positions 72 to 339 of the family's 1533-position model. The record is from RNAcentral. Lineage: Bacteria; Pseudomonadati; Pseudomonadota; Betaproteobacteria. RNAcentral also lists the same sequence under 1 other name.
CGGGGAGCUUGCUCCCUGGCGGCGAGUGGCGCACGGGUGAGUAAUACAUCGGAACGUGUCUUCUAGUGGGGGAUAACUGCCCGAAAGGGCAGCUAAUACCGCAUGAGACCUGAGGGUGAAAGCGGGGGAUCGCAAGACCUCGCGCUGGAAGAGCGGCCGAUGUCCGAUUAGCUAGUUGGUGAGGUAAAGGCUCACCAAGGCGACGAUCGGUAGCUGGUCUGAGAGGACGACCAGCCACACUGGGACUGAGACACGGCCCAGACUCC